UGGCACUCCGUUGGUUCCGACGACGACGAGGGUUCCUGCUGAUCCGAUCAACGGAACAGCAUUCUCAUGAAAUUAAUGUGCAAGUGGCUGAGCUCUCCACAGACACGUGUGCCCUUGACAUACCCUCAAUCUGUAAGCAUAUUAUGCUUUCAUA
Molecule: long non-coding RNA, 154 nt
Organism: Octopus sinensis (East Asian common octopus)
Lineage: Eukaryota; Metazoa; Mollusca; Cephalopoda; Octopoda; Octopodidae
Exons: 5
Source: RefSeq, a predicted model, not a curated record